This 809-nucleotide transfer RNA is filed under the name uncultured Synechococcus sp. RNAcentral describes it as "partial contains 16S ribosomal RNA, 16S-23S ribosomal RNA intergenic spacer, and 23S ribosomal RNA". The stretch from base 283 to 355 matches the Rfam family "tRNA". Lineage: Bacteria; Bacillati; Cyanobacteriota; Cyanophyceae; Synechococcales; Synechococcaceae. The record is from RNAcentral.
UGGAUCACCUCCUAACAGGGAGACAACACAAUGAUUUUGAUGCCUGAGUGUUUUUAUUCUUAGGCCGAGAUCCUGUCACCUUAGGUCGAUCGGUACCUCAGCUUUGAAGUUAAGACGAUACAGAAAUGUAUGGUGCUUGAUGGAGAUGUUCAGUUCCUAAACUUUGUCUAGGUCACACCCACAAGGGUUGAGUCUUCCUGGGCCAUUAGCUCAGGUGGUUAGAGCGCACCCCUGAUAAGGGUGAGGUCCCUGGUUCAAGUCCAGGAUGGCCCAUUCGGUGUUGGGGGUUUAGCUCAGUUGGUAGAGCGCCUGCUUUGCAAGCAGGAUGUCAGGAGUUCGAGUCUCCUAACCUCCACUGACCGAACUUAAUCUCCAUCUUCUGAUUGAUUGGAAGGUGAACUCGAGUGUGAGAGGUGUGAUUUAGAUGUGUCCGCUGGCAUGACCCCAGCUUCCUGUCAUUCCAAGAUUGAGUGAGCAAUCACGUUGAUUUUGGUUGAUAAGAUGCUGGGCUCGAACUGAGCGAUCAGUUUGAUGUCUAGCAGAACCUUGACGACUGCAUAGGUGAGUCUGGAAAGAAUAAAGCAUCUCUCAUGGAUGCAUCAUUUCUUUUUGGAAUGAUGUUGAUUCUUGAGCAAGAGCUGAGACUCCAUCACGUUCUUUUCAUUGUGUCGAGCAAUGAAGAGUUUGAUCAUUGAUUCAGCAAUGAAUCAGUGAGGAUCUGUUUCAACGACAGCAAGCGUGUUGGAGAUUAUAUGGUCAAGCUACAAAGGGCUCACGGUGGAUACCUUGGCACACAGAGGCGAUGAAGG